Panthera uncia (snow leopard) is the source of this 471-nucleotide long non-coding RNA. RefSeq lists it as uncharacterized. The transcript is spliced from 2 exons. The record is from RefSeq and is a predicted model, not a curated record. Lineage: Eukaryota; Metazoa; Chordata; Mammalia; Carnivora; Felidae.
CGCGAGCUUCGGCACGGCCCCGCCCCCGGGGCUCUCCAGCCCGCCCUGUCCCCUCCCCCCGCUCCCCACUCCUUCCCGUUCCCCCUCUUCCUCUUUGUCCCCUCCCCCUCUCUCGGUCACCAGCGCCCUCCGGAGCAGCCUCGUCCUGAACGUCUAGCGAGGAGCCAGCACGCCUUGCGGGGCCUUGGCUGUUUUAGGUGGCGACACGGACCGAGGAGAAAAUCGCUGUUACCCAUCUGUGGAUAUUCUGCGGGGAGAUUGAAAGAAAACCACUGCUUCCUAUUCAUUGCCUGUCGUCAUCGCUGCCUUCACACCCUCCAGCGCUGGCGAGCCGGCAACUUUGAGUAAUUCCCCAAGAUACUGCCCAGAGUAUUUCGCGAGACAAGUCAGCCUCUUAGGACUCGCACAGUGACCCCAACCCGCUGCUCCCUUUCGGGUUCCUUUCCUGCAAAUGACACUGCAUUGCUUGCA